This 442-nucleotide ribosomal RNA is filed under the name uncultured bacterium. RNAcentral describes it as "partial 16S ribosomal RNA". It matches the Rfam family "Bacterial small subunit ribosomal RNA", at positions 338 to 795 of the family's 1533-position model. The record is from RNAcentral.
CCUACGGGAGGCUGCAGUGGGGAAUAUUGGGCAAUGGGCGCAAGCCUGACCCAGCAACGCCGCGUGAAGGAAGAAGGCUUUCGGGUUGUAAACUUCUUUUGUCAGGGAAGAGUAGAAGACGGUACCUGACGAAUAAGCCACGGCUAACUACGUGCCAGCAGCCGCGGUAAUACGUAGGUUGCAAGCGUUGUCCGGAUUUACUGGGUGUAAAGGGCGUGUAGCCGGGUUGAUAAGUCGGAUGUGAAAGCUUGCGGCUUAACCGCAGAACUGCAGUUGACACUGUUGAUCUUGAGUACUGGAGAGGAAGGUGGAAUUCGUGGUGGAGCGGUGAAAUGCGUAGAUAUAAGGAGGAACAGCGGUGGGGAAGGCGGUCUACGGGAGAGCAACUGACGGUGAGGCGCGAAGGCGUGGGGAGCAAACAGGAUUAGAUACCCGAGUAGUC